Molecule: transfer RNA, 363 nt
Filed under: uncultured Microcystis sp.
Lineage: Bacteria; Bacillati; Cyanobacteriota; Cyanophyceae; Chroococcales; Microcystaceae
Description: partial 16S-23S ribosomal RNA intergenic spacer
Rfam family: tRNA (bases 134-207)
Source: RNAcentral
AAAGGGAGACCUAAUUCGGGUAUAAGACGAAAAAAUAGUAGUCGGAACCAAGAAUCAAUCCCAAAAGGUCGGAACGAGGUAUGUGGCUUUCAAACUAGGUUCUGGGUUCAUAAAAGACCUGAAUCAGGAACAAGGGCUAUUAGCUCAGGUGGUUAGAGCGCACCCCUGAUAAGGGUGAGGUCCCUGGUUCGAGUCCAGGAUGGCCCACCUGCACAGGUGGCAAAAACAAAGAAAAGAAGCGAGGAAUCAGCACCUUAUCUUACUUAUAUAGUAAGAGAGAAUGCUGGCUCUGAGUACAGAGUCCAGAGGAACCUUGAAAACUGCAUAGAGCUAGGUGAAAAAGCCAAAAAAGAAGACCGCAAG